Molecule: ribosomal RNA, 443 nt
Filed under: uncultured Prevotella sp.
Lineage: Bacteria; Pseudomonadati; Bacteroidota; Bacteroidia; Bacteroidales; Prevotellaceae
Description: bacterial SSU rRNA
Rfam family: Bacterial small subunit ribosomal RNA
Source: RNAcentral
UGAGGAAUAUUGGGUCAAUGGGCGAGAGCCUGAACCAGCCAAGUAGCGUGCAGGAUGACGGCCCUAUGGGUUGUAAACUGCUUUUAUAAGGGAAUAAAGUGGGUCUCGUGAGACUUUUUGCAUGUACCUUAUGAAUAAGGACCGGCUAAUUCCGUGCCAGCAGCCGCGGUAAUACGGAAGGUCCGGGCGUUAUCCGGAUUUAUUGGGUUUAAAGGGAGCGUAGGCCGGAGAUUAAGCGUGUUGUGAAAUGUAGAUGCUCAACAUCUGCACUGCAGCGCGAACUGGUCUUCUUGAGUACGCACAACGUGGGCGGAAUUCGUGGUGUAGCGGUGAAAUGCUUAGAUAUCACGAAGAACUCCGAUUGCGAAGGCAGCUUACCGUAGCGUUACUGACGCUGAAGCUCGAAAGUGCGGGUAUCGAACAGGAUUAGAUACCCUGGUAGU